RNAcentral lists this ribosomal RNA (429 nucleotides) under Bacteroidota bacterium. Its description in RNAcentral is "Bacteroidetes bacterium partial 16S ribosomal RNA". It matches the Rfam family "Bacterial small subunit ribosomal RNA", at positions 355 to 776 of the family's 1533-position model. Lineage: Bacteria; Pseudomonadati; Bacteroidota. The record is from RNAcentral.
UAGGGAAUCUUCCGCAAUGGACGCAAGUCUGACGGAGCAACGCCGCGUGAGUGAAGAAGGAUUUCGGUUCGUAAAACUCUGUUGUUAGAGAAGAACAGCGCAUAGAGUAACUGUUAUGCGUGUGACGGUAUCUAACCAGAAAGCCACGGCUAACUACGUGCCAGCAGCCGCGGUAAUACGUAGGUGGCAAGCGUUGUCCGGAUUUAUUGGGCGUAAAGCGAGCGCAGGCGGUCAAUUAAGUCUGAUGUGAAAGCCCCCGGCUCAACCGGGGAGGGUCAUUUGAAACUGGUUGACUUGAGUGCAGAAGAGGGGAGUGGAAUUCCAUGUGUAGCGGUGAAAUGCGUAGAUAUAUGGAGGAACAACAGUGGCGAAGGCGAAUCUCUGGUCUGUAACUGACGCGGAGGUUCGAAAGCGUGGGUAGCAAACAGG